RNAcentral lists this long non-coding RNA (792 nucleotides) under Amborella trichopoda. Its description in RNAcentral is "long non-coding RNA (ATRI_LNC003583)". The record is from RNAcentral. Lineage: Eukaryota; Viridiplantae; Streptophyta; Magnoliopsida; Amborellales; Amborellaceae.
GAGAGAGAAGUGGUUGCAGAGAGAAGAGAGAAAGACACACACAGACAAAUAAACGCAGAGAAAGAGAGAAGGGGAGGUGACCACGGAUCUCUCUGAGAGUAGCGCUGAAGAGCAGGCACAUGCACAUGGAGAGGUUUUUCAGAUGGUGUUGUCUUUUGAAGCAGAUGGUGAACCUGUUUGUAAAACAAUCAGAUGGAUGCGCUGCGUAGAACUCAAAUGGCCCUAUCAUUUUUGAAGCUGACAGAUUGUUGAAUCAGGUUUAGGGAACAACCCUAAUUUUUUCACCUGUUUUUGCCUUAAUGUAAUAUUCUUUGAGCUAUGUUACGUUUGCGGAUUUUUGAGCUAUGUUAAUUUUCUAUGCAUGUUUUUUCCUAAUGUAUUUUCUCCUAGGUUCUUUGAGAUGGUUCUCUAUCGGUUGUUAUCUUUCUCUCUCUCUGUACUAAUAUCGAGCAUUAUAAACAGUGAUUGCUAACUAAUUAAUAAAUUUCCUAAUCUAUUUUCCCCUAAUUUCUCUCUAUGAGUGAUUCUCUUUCUCUCUCUGUGUAUUGGAGCUUUAUAUCGAGCAUUAUGAACAGGGAUUAAUACUUAGCAAAUAAAUCAUCAAUAAAAUGAGUUCAAAAAAUAAAAAUAAACUAGUGUUCAAUACAAUAUAAAGCUGCAAUACAAUAAAGCCUAUAAAUCUAUGUGAGCAUUCUUUGAUUUUCUAUAAUAAAUCAUCAGCCAUAUGCAAUGAGCCCGUUUUAGGAUUUUUUUUUUAAAAAAAAAGCAGAGAAAAGGUAAAUGAACUUUUUA